This 768-nucleotide ribosomal RNA is filed under the name Kytococcus schroeteri. RNAcentral describes it as "bacterial SSU rRNA". It matches the Rfam family "Bacterial small subunit ribosomal RNA", at positions 383 to 1164 of the family's 1533-position model. Lineage: Bacteria; Bacillati; Actinomycetota; Actinomycetes; Micrococcales; Kytococcaceae. The record is from RNAcentral.
CUGAUGCAGCGACGCCGCGUGAGGGAUGACGGCCUUCGGGUUGUAAACCUCUUUCAGCAGGGAAGAAGCUUUUGUGACGGUACCUGCAGAAGAAGCACCGGCUAACUACGUGCCAGCAGCCGCGGUAAUACGUAGGGUGCGAGCGUUGUCCGGAAUUAUUGGGCGUAAAGAGCUUGUAGGCGGUUUGUCGCGUCUGCUGUGAAAAUUCAGGGCUUAACCCUGGACGUGCAGUGGGUACGGGCAGACUAGAGUGUGGUAGGGGAGACUGGAAUUCCUGGUGUAGCGGUGGAAUGCGCAGAUAUCAGGAGGAACACCGAUGGCGAAGGCAGGUCUCUGGGCCAUUACUGACGCUGAGAAGCGAAAGCAUGGGGAGCGAACAGGAUUAGAUACCCUGGUAGUCCAUGCCGUAAACGUUGGGCGCUAGGCGUGGGCCUCAUUCCACGAGGUCCGUGUCGAAGCUAACGCAUUAAGCGCCCCGCCUGGGGAGUACGGCCGCAAGGCUAAAACUCAAAGGAAUUGACGGGGGCCCGCACAAGCGGCGGAGCAUGCUGAUUAAUUCGAUGCAACGCGAAGAACCUUACCAAGGCUUGACAUGCACCGGACAGCCCCAGAGAUGGGGUCUUCUUCGGACUGGUGCACAGGUGGUGCAUGGUUGUCGUCAGCUCGUGUCGUGAGAUGUUGGGUUAAGUCCCGCAACGAGCGCAACCCUCGUUCUAUGUUGCCAGCACGUAAUGGUGGGGACUCAUAGGAGACUGCCGGGGUCAACUC